UGGGGAAUAUUGCACAAUGGGCGCAAGCCUGAUGCAGCAACCCCGCGUGAGGGACGACGGCCUUCGGGUUGUAAACCUCUUUUAGCAGGGAAGAAGCGAAAGUGACGGUACCUGCAGAAAAAGCGCCGGCUAACUACGUGCCAGCAGCCGCGGUAAUACGUAGGGCGCAAGCGUUAUCCGGAAUUAUUGGGCGUAAAGAGCUCGUAGGCGGUUUGUCGCGUCUGCUGUGAAAUCCCGAGGCUCAACCUCGGGUCUGCAGUGGGUACGGGCAGACUAGAGUGCGGUAGGGGAGAUUGGAAUUCCUGGUGUAGCGGUGGAAUGCGCAGAUAUCAGGAGGAACACCGAUGGCGAAGGCAGAUCUCUGGGCCGUAACUGACGCUGAGGAGCGAAAGGGUGGGGAGCAAACAGGCUUAGAUACCCUGGUAGUCCACCCCGUAAACGUUGGGAACUAGUUGUGGGGUCCAUUCCACGGAUUCCGUGACGCAGCUAACGCAUUAAGUUCCCCGCCUGGGGAGUACGGCCGCAAGGCUAAAACUCAAAGGAAUUGACGGGGACCCGCACAAGCGGCGGAGCAUGCGGAUUAAUUCGAUGCAACGCGAAGAACCUUACCAAGGCUUGACAUAUACGAGAACGGGCCAGAAAUGGUCAACUCUUUGGACACUCGUAAACAGGUGGUGCAUGGUUGUCGUCAGCUCGUGUCGUGAGAUGUUGGGUUAAGUCCCGCAACGAGCGCAACCCUCGUUCUAUGUUGCCAGCACGUAAUGGUGGGAACUCAUGGGAUACUGCCGGGGUCAACUCGGAGGAAGGUGGGGAUGACGUCAAAUCAUCAUGCCCCUUAUGUCUUGGGCUUCACGCAUGCUACAAUGGCCGGUACAAAGGGCUGCAAUACCGUAAGGUGGAGCGAAUCCCAAAAAGCCGGUCCCAGUUCGGAUUGAGGUCUGCAACUCGACCUCAUGAAGUCGGAGUCGCUAGUAAUCGCAGAUCAGCAACGCUGCGGUGAAUACGUUCCCGGGUCUUGUACACACCGCCC
Molecule: ribosomal RNA, 1030 nt
Filed under: Microbacterium flavum
Lineage: Bacteria; Bacillati; Actinomycetota; Actinomycetes; Micrococcales; Microbacteriaceae
Description: bacterial SSU rRNA
Rfam family: Bacterial small subunit ribosomal RNA
Source: RNAcentral